GAGGGUUUUCUGCUCCUCUGAGGGCGAUCAGAUCCUCUACAGCUGGACUCUGAAUGGAGGUCCACUGAUGGAUGGAAACUCCAGCAUUGAUCUGGAUGAGGGAACUGAUGGAAACAUCAGCUGCAGUGUGAAGAACCACGUCAGUCACAGACAGAAGACUGUUAGUGUCAAACCCUGUCCUGUCUUACAUGUCUCUCUGAUUGCUUUGGGCUUUGUUGCGCUGAUCCUGUUUCUGCUGUUCAUCACCGUAUAUCACAUUUACAAGAAAAAACAGGUCAAGUCGACACCAGAAUCACUCCCGGCUGCUGAUGUGGAAUAUGUUGAGAUCCAACCGCAGAAGAAGAGGAAGGAGAGGAAAGAGAAGGAGGAAGAGGUUCAGUACGGCGAGGUGACAUUCACUCUAAACCCCUCAAUCGCUUACACACGGCCUCAGGAGGAGUGUAUUUAUUCUCAGGUACACAGAUGAUAGUUUCACAACAACAGCUGUGUAAAAUCACACUUUCCCUGGGAAA
Molecule: long non-coding RNA, 512 nt
Filed under: Sinocyclocheilus anshuiensis
Lineage: Eukaryota; Metazoa; Chordata; Actinopteri; Cypriniformes; Cyprinidae
Description: lncRNA (ENSSANG00000019588.1)
Source: RNAcentral